This 244-nucleotide long non-coding RNA is filed under the name Olea europaea (common olive). Its description in RNAcentral is "long non-coding RNA (OEUR_LNC014519)". The record is from RNAcentral. Lineage: Eukaryota; Viridiplantae; Streptophyta; Magnoliopsida; Lamiales; Oleaceae.
UGGUGUAUCUCCCAUAACAUCUCAAUAAUACAGUCUAGCAGAUCCAAAUGUUGUUCGAGACUAUGUAGUGGAUGCAUACGAUAAUUAUAGUAAAAUGCCAAUAAUAUGUCCCGCUUCUUCGCAAAACCAUAAGCUUCUGUCCUUGUGGGGGUUCUUACUAUUCGUGCCAUAACUAGGACAAACAUUAAUUAUGUUACUCUACAAGGCUUCAUAAUCUCUACCAUGACUUGAUUCAAAAUAUUCC